UACGUAGGGGGGCUAGCGUUGUCCGGAAUCAUUGGGCGUAAAGCGCGCGUAGGCGGUUACUUAAGUUGGAUGUGAAAGCCCUCGGCUUAACUGAGGAAGUGCAUCCAAAACUGAGUAGCUAGAGUACGAAAGAGGGUCGCGGAAUUCCCGGUGUAGAGGUGAAAUUCGUAGAUAUCGGGAGGAACACCUGCGGCGAAGGCGGGUUGCUGGGCUGAUACUGACGCUGAGGCGCGAAAGCCAGGGGAGCGAACGGG
RNAcentral lists this ribosomal RNA (254 nucleotides) under uncultured bacterium. RNAcentral describes it as "partial 16S ribosomal RNA". It matches the Rfam family "Bacterial small subunit ribosomal RNA", at positions 524 to 776 of the family's 1533-position model. The record is from RNAcentral.